UGGCACUGCCCGGUAGCUAAAUGCGGAAGAGAUAAGUGCUGAAAGCAUCUAAGCACGAAACUUGCCCCGAGAUGAGUUCUCCCUGACCCUUUAAGGGUCCUGAAGGAACGUUGAAGACGACGACGUUGAUAGGCCGGGUGUGUAAGCGCAGCGAUGCGUUGAGCUAACCGGUACUAAUGAACCGUGAGGCUUAACCUU
RNAcentral lists this ribosomal RNA (198 nucleotides) under Escherichia coli. Its description in RNAcentral is "partial 23S ribosomal RNA". It matches the Rfam family "Bacterial large subunit ribosomal RNA", at positions 2733 to 2925 of the family's 2925-position model. RNAcentral also lists the same sequence under 1 other name. Lineage: Bacteria; Pseudomonadati; Pseudomonadota; Gammaproteobacteria; Enterobacterales; Enterobacteriaceae. The record is from RNAcentral.